This 1382-nucleotide long non-coding RNA is filed under the name Bos indicus x Bos taurus (hybrid cattle). Its description in RNAcentral is "lncRNA (ENSBIXG00005020470.1)". The record is from RNAcentral. Lineage: Eukaryota; Metazoa; Chordata; Mammalia; Artiodactyla; Bovidae.
UAUCCAGUUGUAUAUUUUAUAUCUGUGUAUUUAAUUGUGUACAGGUUAUAUCUUAACUUCUUUUAAAAGAGGAAGAACACAGGGGAAGAAUUAGGUCACAGGAUGUGGAGGAAAUUCUCAGUGGGAUACCUCCAAGCAAACAAUGCCAACUCCUCAGUUCGUUCAAGUAUUGUGAGUGCCACGGGGUCAGACACACUCAGCAAAACCACCGUGCUUUCAGAGACUCAAGCAGAAAGAUCUCUUCUGGAGAAUCUGGAAGCUUCCCAAAGGCUCCUUGUGAGGAGGCACUCAGGUGUACUUGUUAUCAUUUGAGCCAUUUGAGGAGUGCUGCAAAAAUAUCUACCGGCGAGAAGAAAAAUGUUCUCCUUAAUGAAUAGAUUCUUCCAGGUCCUAACUGCUGGGAAUGAAGUCGGCCGCAGGGCUGGGCUGGGGAGCACAUGCCUUUACUGGAUAACUGAGUUAGGUCUGGCCUCUUCCCCCCAAAACAGUGACCCUGGCUAAAGGCUAUUAUUUCACCAUUACAACUUCAUUUGUGUAGCCAGGAAAUCUUUCCUCUUCAAAGAUCUCCUUUUAAAGUAGACAUUCUCCCAAGCAAUUAAUAAUGAUGUCUUCUUUUUCACAAGUCAACUAGCUGGUUACACCGCCAUUCCCAUGCAUCAUCUCCUUGAUCCUUACCACAAGAUCAUGUGGAAGAAGAGGUAUUAUUAUUAUUAAUAUUAUGAUCUCCACCUCUUUUUUGGAAGAGAGAGCCCACAGUUAUGUGUUCACCCAGACCACCUAAAUGGUCCAGAGCAGAGCAGAACUAAGCAGGUGAAUCUUCCAGUAACAGGCUCCAUGUCCUUUCCAGGGUGCCAAGGCCCCCAGUCCUCAGAAUCCAAGUGAGGAUUGAUGGGCUGCUGGGAGAGCAGAAAGAGAACACAGGACCAGUGCCUGGGGAAGGCAGGAAGACUGCAUGUGGCAGGAUGCUGGGGAGUGAGCAGAGGGGUGAUAGGAAGGAAGGGGUGACCAGGUCCGCCUUCUCUGGCUCCGUUGUUUGGCAUAUCCACCCCCAUGCGUGCAAGCUCAGCUGCUCAAUUGUAUCUGACUCUUUGCAAUGCCACUGACUGUAGUCCACCAGGCUCCUCUGUCCACGGGAUUUUCUAGGCAAGAAUACUGCAAUGGUUUGCCAUUUCCUCCCCCAGGGGAUCUUCCUGACCCAGGGAUCAGACUCGUGUCUCCUGCAUCUUCUGUACUGGCAGGCAGAUUCUUUACCACUGAACCACCUAGAAGGCCCAUAUCCAUCCCCAGAGAACCUUAAAUACCCCAGGAAUUCAGAACAUGCAUGUAGAUGAAACUACUUCACUUAGUCUUCCAGGCCAAUAAAUUGAAUAAAUUUUGAUUCA